Non-coding RNA from Schizosaccharomyces pombe (fission yeast), 3424 nucleotides. The record is from the annotation of a GenBank genome assembly. NCBI's taxonomy places the organism in Eukaryota, Fungi, Ascomycota, Schizosaccharomycetes, Schizosaccharomycetales, Schizosaccharomycetaceae.
UUUACUGACUCAAUUACAAAUGAUAUGGUUCACGAUAGCUUUAUUGAAAAUACCACUCACCGAAUUUUUAAAUCUAACCUUGCAAAUACGGUCAUGCUAAAUAUGAUAUAAUAUAUCUUAUAAACAUUAAAGUAUGUAACGGACAAAAGAACACACAUUUAAGAUUAAGAAAAUUUGAGCAUAUCUUACCAGAACUGUAAAAUCCACCAAAAAAUCUAUAUUAUUUACUAUUGUUGCAAAGUAAUUGAAAAGUAUUCGCAAAUUUCACUUACUCAGCAAUAUAAUCCCGAUAACUCAUAUACAAUCCGUAAAAGUAAUAUUUUCAGAGCUUUUUAAGCUGUCUUUUUUCUGGAUCGGCGACUGGUUGAGCUAGAAGAGGACGCUUCAGCCUUUGCCUUAGUCCUUUUUUUAGGUUUCUUUGGUACCGAAAUAAAUUUGUCUUUGCUUAAAUCUAUGUCCUCUUCAUUAGCAGCCUCUGAGUCACUAGCUUCUUCUAACAUCUCAUCUUCGGCUUCAAUUGCAUCUUCGACAUCCGGCACUUCGCGCUGAGCAGAGCCCUUCAUAGGUAAAACAUCACUACUUCCAAAGAAGGCGAUGGGGUGACUCGAAGAAUUGUAUUUUCUUGUGAAUGCAGAUUUUGCAGCAGUCGGUAUGGUUUUCAUGAGUUUCUCACCUGCAUCUGCAGGAAGAACUAAUUCCGUUAUUGAAUCAAAAUCUUCACGAUUUAGAUAAUAUUCAUCCAUCAAUUCAAUGAUUUCUGGAACGACGUCUGAAUGGCCUGUUGAUAGCUUUACAGGCAGAGACUCAUACAAUAUUGGAAUAUAAUGCUGCCGCAAGUCCAAUUUAUUAGCGGAUACUUUUAAACGCAUGUGUACUUGUAUCUCACGAAGCAUACGAUAUAAUUUAUUUGUCUUCGAGUUAUUACCCAACCAAUUAGUAAAGCGAAUCUGCCUGGAACCGGAACCAGCCACGAAAGAAGCAGGUCGCACGCAAGACAUAAGAGCAUGGGUUGGCAUAAGUGACCAGUGUUGUUGAGGACCAUGAAUCAUUGAAUCAACAAGAUCAGAGUCGGAAAAGGAGUUAGCAGCACUAGAUAUUAAUUCUAAAUGCUUCAAAUGUGACAUUUUCGGUGGUUCUUGACGAAUUCUAUCUGGUGUAGUAUUAAGGUAGUUUUCUUGAACCAUAAGAUAAGAAAAUUCGUGAUCAUUAAAAUACAGCUCUAAUUUAUCAUUAAUGGUGGACUUGCUUGAUGGAUGAAACAUUCCUCCAUGUAAGUAACGACUACAGAUAUCCCAUGGUUUCAUAACGAUAUGCUUUUCAGAAUUUUUAAUAACAGCUUGGCUAUUUUGAGGUGUCAUUUCUGAACAGCUUAACUUGUAAGUGGAUAGCAAAUUAAUAAUUUGGCGCAUAUCGGACUGCGUCCCCUGAACCAGUUGAUCGACUGCUUGUGGUGACAAUUUGAGACCUUCACGAUACGCUAUAGACAUUAUUCGGGAUCGCAUUGAAUUAGCAUCUGGCCGACGGAAACGGAGGUCAAACGUAGUACGGUCAAGGGGCCGCAGCUUUGGAUGAGCACGGUCAUUGCAAAUACAAAUAAUUGGUAUCAUGCUUUUUUUAAUAAUCAUAUUCAACUGACCAACGCCUCCACGAUCACCCGAUGACAUGCCAUCGAUUUCGUCCAUAAUGAGUACAAGUCGGGACUUUGCCAUGUCAACGGGGUUAGCUUUUGUGCCAAAGUAGCCGGCAAGUGAUUGACUAUCUGUCACACCGAACAGCUGCUCAUCUAGCAAGCGCUUGCUUCUAGUGUCACUAGCGUUCAGUUCCAAAACAUCGUAACCUUCUAAUUUUGCUACCAAAUGAGCAGCAGUCGUCUUGCCAAUACCUGGAGGACCAGAGAGUAAUACGGCUUUGUAUAGACCCAGACCAUCAGGUCCAGGUUUAUUAAAGUUGGACUUCCUGUUUUUGUGGUAAUCCUGUAGCCACUUUUGAAGUUUUUGAACGACACCCUUAUUACCACAAAUAUCCUUUAAAGAAGUUGGCGCAUAUUUUGAAGUCCAUAUCUGUGAAGGUUGUGAUUCCUUUUUAUUACUAUCGUCCAUUCUCGCAACAGUUUCAAGGAUUUUCUUUUCUUCUUGUUCCUUUUUCUGUUGAGCAGCCUGAGCCGCAGCACCCGUUCCUCCUGAAGCAGGAAGAUGAGUUAUAAGAUAGAAGAGUCCAUCCUCGUUAAUAGCAGGAAUCUUGUGUUGUUUAAUUGUUUCCACUUUUCUUGGACCAGCAUUCUCACCUAAGAGAAUAAAGUCUGUUCUAACAGAAGGUGCACCUGUCACUUUUCCACCAUAUUGUUUGAUCAGGUCUGUAGCCUCUUGUCUAGUUAAAGUCUCUAGAAUUCCUGUAAUAACAAAGCUAAUUCCCGAGAGACAAUCGCUAUUGCCUUCAGGGACGGGUUUUGAGCCUGGAGUUUGUGUUGUAGCCGCCCGUUCAUAGAAAGUACCUGGAGCCAUCACACCCAUAGAGUCUACGUCAAUUAAAGGAACAUUUUUGAGGGCUUGGGAAACUUCGUCUGAGAACCUAGGUAAGCCUUUCGACUUGCUAGAACGACUUGUGUGAGUUGUCGCAGUUGUGGUAUGAGAUUUUGACUUUGAAGUUGUCGAUUUUUCUGCUUUAGGUUGAGCAGGUUUACGUGUAGCUCUAGUUUGAUGGACAACUGGCUUACUGUCUGAAGUGGUAUCCAAGUCAUUGGCAAAAUUUUCUGUUUUUACAGGAUGUACGACAUCUUUGGAAGUAGUAGUUUCUUUAUUGGAGAUAAUCCGCGGUUUAGAACGUGACCGAGUAGACUGUUGUUCAAAGUACUCAUCAGGUGUAGUUGAAACUCCAUCUGAACCGACACUAAACAAAAAUUCAAAUUAGCGAACAACGCAUAAUGAGGUAAAAGUAAAAUAAACAUACAGUUUAUCGUCUUCAUGAACAAUGGAUGGCAAAGAAUGGGAAAUAUCUUCCGACUCAUUACUAGUUGGAGGGUUAGAAAUAUAAACUGAUAACCCGAAUUAAACGAACCGUUUUUGCACUUUGCUUUUGGAUGCAGGAACUUUUGAAUUCUCUAUUGUACCAUCUUCAUCAUCUGAUAAAACGAUUCUUUUUUUCUUCAAACUCCUUUUUGGUUUUGGGGAAGUAGGCUAGACAAAGACGUUAGAAAAUGAAUGACUAGCUUAUCAAAUUUGACUGAUUGAAGAAACAAACAUACAGUCGGUGAGACUUUUGGCUUUUUUUGAGCGUUCCCUCCUCCAAAGAAGCUUCGAAUGUCAGAAUUACUCAUUUCCGACGAUGAAUAACAAUUACCCAAUUCCUGAGAAGCUACUGUCUAACUUCCAAAAAAGCAGUGUAUGUAUGUAUAUUGGGCGACAAUAGCAAGGAAUGUGACAAUUUG